RNAcentral lists this transfer RNA (619 nucleotides) under Bartonella coopersplainsensis. Its description in RNAcentral is "partial 16S-23S ribosomal RNA intergenic spacer". The stretch from base 115 to 188 matches the Rfam family "tRNA". The record is from RNAcentral. Lineage: Bacteria; Pseudomonadati; Pseudomonadota; Alphaproteobacteria; Hyphomicrobiales; Bartonellaceae.
AAGCCUUCUGGCAAUCCGCGAUAAGUUCUUUGUAGAACUUUAAGAAAAGCAUUUUCCAUUAAAAGAAUGCUUUCAUGUGAUAAUGCCGGGGAAGGUUUUCCGGUUUAUCCCGGAGGGCUUGUAGCUCAGUUGGUUAGAGCGCGCGCUUGAUAAGCGUGAGGUCGGAGGUUCAAGUCCUCCCAGGCCCACCAAUUAUCCAUCCAUAGAAAAGCGCUUAGAAAGUUUGACUGUUAACAGGUCAACGUUGUUUUGUAGGACGCCAAUAUUGUCUUGAAAAAGAGCUUUCUUGUAAAGUUUGAGAAAACUUGUUUAUCGCUUUUUGUAAGAUGUGGUGUUUGUCUGCUUUUAAAGCGAUCGAAACUGAAAGUGUUUCAAAGAUAAGAGUCUUGGAACAGAAGAGUCUUGGAAUAGAAAAGAAUAUAAAGUCUAGGUGGUAUUACAUAGUCUAGAGUUAAAUUGUUCAUGAUUGGAACAUUUCAUAUUGAAAUGCUGCGAUAUAAAGGUUUCGAAUAAAUUAUUCCGUUUUGGGGCCGUAGCUCAGCUGGGAGAGCACCUGCUUUGCAAGCAGGGGGUCGUCGGUUCGAUCCCGUCCGGCUCCACCAUUUGGUCAUCAUCAUUG